RNAcentral lists this ribosomal RNA (533 nucleotides) under uncultured bacterium. RNAcentral's name for it is "bacterial SSU rRNA". It matches the Rfam family "Bacterial small subunit ribosomal RNA", at positions 777 to 1305 of the family's 1533-position model. The record is from RNAcentral.
AAUAGAUACCCUGGUAGUCUAUGCUGUAAACGGUGGGCGCUAGGUGUGAGUCCCUUCCACGGGGGUUUGUGCCGUAGCUAACGCUUUAAGCGCCCCGCCUGGGGAGUACGGGCCGCAAGGCUAAAAACUCAAAGGAAUUGACGGGGGCCCGCACAAGCGGCGGAGCAUGUGGAUUAAUUCGAUGCAACGCGAAGAACCUUACCUGGGCUUGACAUAUGUGAGAUUGGGCUAGAGAUAGUUCGUCCCUUGUGGCUCAUUUACAGGUGGUGCAUGGUUGUCGUCAGCUCGUGUCGUGAGAUGUUGGGUUAAGUCCCGCAACGAGUCGCAACCCUUGUCUUAUGUUGCCAGCACGUUGUGGUGGGGACUCGUGAGAGACUGCCGGGGUUAACUCGGAGGAAGGUGGGGAUGACGUCAAAUCAUCAUGCCCCUUAUGUCCAGGGCUUCACACAUGCUACAAUGGCUGGUACAGUGCGUGUGCGACACCGUGAGGUGGAGCUAAAUCGCGAAAGCCAGUUUCAGUUCGGAUUGGGGUU